This 1192-nucleotide long non-coding RNA is filed under the name Cyanistes caeruleus (blue tit). RNAcentral's name for it is "lncRNA (ENSCCEG00000019218.1)". The record is from RNAcentral. Lineage: Eukaryota; Metazoa; Chordata; Aves; Passeriformes; Paridae.
CUGGAAGCAUGUUCCUUAGUGUUUCUCAUUAGAGCCUGGCUGGCUGAGAGGAUUCCAUGGGAGAAUGGCUGGUGCACGGCUGCCCUUUCAUCUCCGAGACCUGUGCUUAAUGUGCCGCAGAUUGUGUGGGUGUGAGCUGGCCAGUGGGGUGAGCACAGCCCCGAGUGGAAGCUGGUUCUCCCAGUGGGAUCCCAGGCUGGGGCAGGAGCACAGCUCUGGGGCUGCUGCUGUGGGCAGGGCUGUGCCCCACGCAGCCCCUCUGCACACAAAGGUUACAGCACUGGCAAUCUCGGCCAGGCUGCUUGCGGAGAUUCUGAACUCCCUGACAAGACAUGUACAGCUUCAUCUGCACUUCCCUGAGCACUGGAAAGGAUUUGCAUUUGGAGUACACUUUACUUCAGCAGCUUGCAUGUAAUAAUUGAUAUCCUGUUACUUUUCCAAAUGCUUUAACAAGAGUUCAGUGUGUGUUAGUCUGUGCGCAUUCACAAACAUCUGUGUGGCAGUCAGAUAAAACCCAGACAUAUUGAUAAGAUGGUCCAAAAGGAAGCAUUAAAUGCAUAAAUACAGUGUGUCUACCAUGACCUGAUAUGUUAAUUUCUUCAUACUUUUCACAUAUUCUCUUGAAUUUUGUUGUUAAGCCAGGAUUUCUCAGUCAGGGAAGCAAACCCUACUCCAACACAUCCAAUUUCCCUGCAGUCUUUCUAAACCACAAACUAGUACAAUUUAUAGAGGAGAAUAUCUGCUAUGAAACAUUCUCUCAAAGGGAAUAUUUACUGGAGAAUCCAUCACUCUAAUGACAACUUUUUAACCUCCAUGUUUUAAACAUUUUGCUACAAAUAUGUCUAUUCACAUGAAUUAGUAGAGCCUUAUCAGUCAGUAGUAGACCACCACAUGUGGUUUUGUACAGAUCUCAUGUGAGGAGUAUACAAAGUUUGAAUCUGUUUCAUAUAUGUGCAAAUUAUUCCAGAAACAAUUUUCUCCUUUUUAUUCUAAUCUUUGACCUCUCAAAGAUGCAUUCUGUAAGCACCUUUGCACAUGAUGCUGAACCAGAAAAAUAAGUGAGAUUCUUGCUUUUCUUUUGCUCCCGUUUAAUCUGAUGACCCUCCUAUACUUAGUGGUCCCAGAGAAACCCCAAACUAUCUUUUAUUGUUCUCCAUGGCCACAUUUUACUUCUGAAAUAUUUACUGCUUAU